Molecule: ribosomal RNA, 253 nt
Filed under: uncultured bacterium
Lineage: Bacteria
Description: partial 16S ribosomal RNA
Rfam family: Bacterial small subunit ribosomal RNA
Source: RNAcentral
UACGUAGGGUGCAAGCGUUGUCCGGAAUUAUUGGGCGUAAAGAGCUCGUAGGCGGUCUGUCGCGUCGAAUGUGAAAACCCGGGGCUCAACCCCGGGCCUGCAUUCGAUACGGGCAGACUAGAGUUCGGUAGGGGAGACUGGAAUUCCUGGUGUAGCGGUGAAAUGCGCAGAUAUCAGGAGGAACACCGGUGGCGAAGGCGGGUCUCUGGGCCGAUACUGACGCUGAGGAGCGAAAGCAUGGGGAGCGAACAGG